CAGUCGCCGCGGUAACACGUAGGGUGCGAGCGUUAAUCGGAAUUACUGGGCGUAAAGCGUGCGCAGGCGGUUGUGUAAGACAGGUGUGAAAUCCCCGGGCUUAACCUGGGAACUGCGCUUGUGACUGCACAGCUAGAGUAUGGCAGAGGGGGGUGGAAUUCCACGUGUAGCAGUGAAAUGCGUAGAGAUGUGGAGGAACACCGAUGGCGAAGGCAGCCCCCUGGGCCAAUACUGACGCUCAUGCACGAAAGCGUGGGGAGCAAACAGGAUUAGAUACCCCCGUAGUCCCUGUCUCUUAUAA
RNAcentral lists this ribosomal RNA (301 nucleotides) under uncultured bacterium. Its description in RNAcentral is "partial 16S ribosomal RNA". It matches the Rfam family "Bacterial small subunit ribosomal RNA", at positions 509 to 809 of the family's 1533-position model. The record is from RNAcentral.